This 484-nucleotide ribosomal RNA is filed under the name uncultured bacterium. Its description in RNAcentral is "partial 16S ribosomal RNA". It matches the Rfam family "Bacterial small subunit ribosomal RNA", at positions 30 to 507 of the family's 1533-position model. The record is from RNAcentral.
AUUGAACGCUGGCGGCAGGCCUAACACAUGCAAGUCGAGCGGAAGCAGGGAGCUUCCUCCUGCAUUCAGCGGCGGACGGGUGAGUAAUGCCUAGGAAUCUGCCAGGUAGUGGGGGAUAACGUCCAGAAACGGACGCUAAUACCGCAUACGCCCUGAGGGACAAAGUGGGGGAUGUUCGGCCCUCACGCUCUCAGCUGAGCCUAGGUCGGAUUAGCUAGUUGGUGGGGUAAGGGCCUACCAAGGCGACGAUCCGUAACUGGUCUGAGAGGAUGAUCAGCCACACUGGAACUGAGACACGGUCCAGACUCCUACGGGAGGCAGCAGUGGGGAAUAUUGGACAAUGGGCGAAAGCCUGAUGCAGCCAUGCCGCGUGUGUGAAGAAGGUCUUCGGAUUGUAAAGCACUUUAAGUUGGGAGGAAGGGCAGUAAGUUAAUACCUUGCUGUUUUGACGUUACCAACAGAAUAAGCACCGGCUAACUUCGUG